CCAAUAGCGUAUAUUAAAGUUGUUGCAGUUAAAAAGCUCGUAGUUGAAUUUCGGGAUCAAUUUACUGGUCGUGCAAUAGUACGUACUGGUUUUAUUGGUUUCUACCUUCUGAUGAACCAUGAUGCCAUUAAUUUGGUGUCAUGGGGAAUCAGGACUGUUACUUUGAAAAAAUUAGAGUGUUUAAAGCAGGCUCACGCUUGAAUACAUUAGCAUGGAAUAA
This 220-nucleotide ribosomal RNA is filed under the name uncultured Glomus. Its description in RNAcentral is "partial small subunit ribosomal RNA". It matches the Rfam family "Eukaryotic small subunit ribosomal RNA", at positions 591 to 817 of the family's 1831-position model. Lineage: Eukaryota; Fungi; Glomeromycota; Glomeromycetes; Glomerales; Glomeraceae. The record is from RNAcentral.